RNAcentral lists this ribosomal RNA (253 nucleotides) under uncultured bacterium. RNAcentral's name for it is "partial 16S ribosomal RNA". It matches the Rfam family "Bacterial small subunit ribosomal RNA", at positions 524 to 776 of the family's 1533-position model. The record is from RNAcentral.
UACGAAGGGGGCUAGCGUUGCUCGGAAUUACUGGGCGUAAAGGGCGCGUAGGCGGACAUUUAAGUCAGGGGUGAAAUCCCAGAGCUCAACUCUGGAACUGCCUUUGAUACUGGAUGUCUUGAGUGUGAGAGAGGUAUGUGGAACUCCGAGUGUAGAGGUGAAAUUCGUAGAUAUUCGGAAGAACACCAGUGGCGAAGGCGACAUACUGGCUCUUUACUGACGCUGAGGCGCGAAAGCGUGGGGAGCAAACAGG